GGGGGGGAGACUAACAGGAUUCCCUAGUACUGCGAGUGAAGCGGGAAAAGCUCAAAUUUAAAAUCUGGCGGUCUCUGGCCGUCCGAGUUGUAAUCUAGAGAAGUAAUGCCCGUGCUGGACCGUGUAUAAGUCUCCUGGGAUGGAGCGUCAUAGAGGGUGAGAAUCCCGUCUUUGACACGGACUACCAGUGCAUUGUGGUAUGCUCUCAAAGAGUCGAGUUGUUUGGGAAUGCAGCUCAAAAUGGGUGGUAAAUUCCAUCUAAAGCUAAAUAUUGGCGAGAGACCGAUAGCGAACAAGUACCGUGAGGGAAAGAUGAAAAGAACUUUGGAAAGAGAGUUAAACAGUACGUGAAAUUGCUGAAAGGGAAACGCUUGAAGUCAGUCGCGUUGGCCGGGGAUCAGCCUUGCUUUUGCAUGGUGUACUUUCUGGUUGACGGGUCAGCAUCAAUUUUGACCRCUGGAAAAAGACCUGGGGAAUGUGGCAGCUUCGGCUGUGUUAUAGCCCUUAGUCGCAUACAGUGGUUGGGAUUGAGGAACUCAGCACGCCGCAAGGCCGGGUUUCGACCACGUUCGUGCUUAGGAUGCUGGCAUAAUGGCUUUAAGCGACCCGUCUUGAAACACGGACCAAGGAGUCUAACAUGCCUGCGAGUAUUUGGGUGGAAAACCCAAGUGCGUAAUGAAAGUGAAAGUUGAGAUCCCUGUCGUGGGGAGCAUCGACGCCCGGACCAGAACUUUUGGGACGGAUCCGCGGUGGAGCAUGUAUGUUGGGACCCGAAAGAUGGUGAACUAUGCCUGAAUAGGGUGAAGCCAGAGGAAACUCUGGUGGAGGCUCGUAGCGAUUCUGACGUGCAAAUCGAUCGUCAAAUUUGGGUAUAGGGGCGAAAGACUAAUCGAACCAUCUAGUAGCUGGUUCCUGCCGGAGUCCCCCUGAGGGAA
RNAcentral lists this ribosomal RNA (935 nucleotides) under Agaricus augustus. Its description in RNAcentral is "partial large subunit ribosomal RNA". The record is from RNAcentral. Lineage: Eukaryota; Fungi; Basidiomycota; Agaricomycetes; Agaricales; Agaricaceae.